This 458-nucleotide ribosomal RNA is filed under the name uncultured bacterium. RNAcentral describes it as "partial 16S ribosomal RNA". It matches the Rfam family "Bacterial small subunit ribosomal RNA", at positions 338 to 795 of the family's 1533-position model. The record is from RNAcentral.
CCUACGGGUGACAGCAGUGAGGAAUAUUGGUCAAUGGGCGAGAGCCUGAACCAGCCAAGUCGCGUGAGGGAGUACUGCCCUAUGGGUUGUAAACCUCUUUUGUCGGGGAGCAAAAGCCGGACGUGUCCGGCUGUGAGAGUACCCGAAGAAAAAGCAUCGGCUAACUCCGUGCCAGCAGCCGCGGUAAUACGGAGGAGGCGAGCGUUAUCCGGAUUUAUUGGGUUUAAAGGGUGCGCAGGCGGAUUUUUAAGUCAGCGGUAAAAUCGUGGGGCUCAACCCCAUCCAGCCGUUGAAACUGGGGAUCUAGAGUGUGCGAGAGGUAUGCGGAAUGCGUGGUGUAGCGGUGAAAUGCAUAGAUAUCACGCAGAACCCCGAUUGCGAAGGCAGCAUACCGGUGCACAACUGACGCUCAGGCACGAAAGCGUGGGUAUCGAACAGGAUUAGAUACCCGAGUAGUC